RNAcentral lists this unclassified non-coding RNA (681 nucleotides) under Hevea brasiliensis (rubber tree). Lineage: Eukaryota; Viridiplantae; Streptophyta; Magnoliopsida; Malpighiales; Euphorbiaceae. The record is from RNAcentral.
AAAAAAAAAAAAAAAAGUUGAAAAUGGGUUUAAUUUAGUAAGUCAUUAUGUUAAUGAUUAAUUAAUAAAAAAAUUUGAAAAAAUAUAUAUAUAUUAAGAUGGCUUAUGGUAUAGCUGUUGGUGGAAAAUCUGUUAUUUGUACAGGUGGCAAAUGGUUUGGUGGAAUUGAAUGAUUUCAUUUUGUAGAUUAUUUUUUAGAUAUUUUUUAAAGUGGCUUUGAUUUAGAUUGUUUUAGGUUUAAUUUUUCAUGGAUUAUUUAGUGGAUUGUUAUGUAGAAAACAUUUUGGUUUCAAAUUCGAAUAAAUUUUUAAGUUAUGUAUUGUUUCUUAUUAAAAUAUUAAUUUUUAUAUUAAUUCUUAUUGAUCGCUUUAGUUAGGUUUCGAUAUAAGUUGUGAUAUAAAUUAUGUCAUUUAAAGUUGAGCAUUGUGUUAAUGAGUUGAGCUAAAAUUUGCCACCUCUCGCUAUUUUCAGUCAGGACUAUUGCAGUACAUAAAUCAACAAUUUCAUUAGUUUGAGCUCGUAUGGUCCAAAUUGAUCCCAUUGAAGUAGCCGAUUUUUACCGUUGUGAUAAAGUUUUGGAAUUGAAGCUAAUUAAGCAUGGGAACGUAAUUCUUGGAAAGAUUACUAAAUAAUAAAUGCUCUUAUGCUCUUUGGUUUUUUAUUUUUUAAUUAUAAAAUUUG